UCCCGAAUCGUCUAGUGGCAGGACAGAAGAUUCUGGCUCUUCUAACGGUGGUUCGAAUCCAUCUUCGGGAU
This 71-nucleotide transfer RNA is filed under the name bacterium. Its description in RNAcentral is "tRNA-Gln". It matches the Rfam family "tRNA". Rfam says of the family: Transfer RNA (tRNA) molecules are approximately 80 nucleotides in length. Their secondary structure includes four short double-helical elements and three loops (D, anti-codon, and T loops). Further hydrogen bonds mediate the characteristic L-shaped molecular structure. tRNAs have two regions of fundamental functional importance: the anti-codon, which is responsible for specific mRNA codon recognition, and the 3' end, to which the tRNAs corresponding amino acid is attached (by aminoacyl-tRNA synthetases). tRNAs cope with the degeneracy of the genetic code in two manners: having more than one tRNA (with a specific anti-codon) for a particular amino acid; and 'wobble' base-pairing, i.e. permitting non-standard base-pairing at the 3rd anti-codon position. RNAcentral also lists the same sequence under 1 other name. The record is from RNAcentral.